This 1390-nucleotide small RNA is filed under the name Pan troglodytes (chimpanzee). RNAcentral's name for it is "retained intron". The record is from RNAcentral. Lineage: Eukaryota; Metazoa; Chordata; Mammalia; Primates; Hominidae.
AAUCUUGGGACUUUUUGGACACCCAGAGAACAGGUCCCAGAUACCGAGUCCGCAACUCCAAACAUCGCGAUUAAUAGGAGGCCUCUGGUCCCUGCCUGCCCUGGGUGCUCAUGGAACCAGCUGCUGCUCUGCACUUCUCCCUGCCAGCCUCCCUCCUCCUCCUCCUGCUCCUCCUCCUUCUCAGCCUGUGUGCACUGGCCUCAGGCCUUGGGUCUAAGCCCCUCAUUGAAAUCAAGGCCCAAGAGGAUGGGAGCAUCUGGCUGGAGUGCAUAUCUGGAGGGUGGUACCCAGAGCCCCUCACAGUGUGGAGGGACCCCUACGGUGAGGUUGUGCCCACCCUGAAGGAGGUUUCCAUCGCUGAUGCUGACGGCCUCUUCAUGGUCACCACAGCUGUGAUCAUCAGAGACAAGUAUGUGAGGAAUGUGUCCUGCUCUGUCAACAACACCCUGCUCGGCCAGGAGAAGGAAACUGUCAUUUUUAUUCCAGAAUCCUUUAUGCCCAGCGCAUCUCCCUGGAUGGUGGCCCUAGCUGUCAUCCUGACCGCAUCUCCCUGGAUGGUGUCCAUGACUGUCAUCCUGGCUGUUUUCAUCAUCUUCAUGGCUGUCAGCAUCUGUUGCAUCAAGAAACUUCAAAGGGAAAAAAAGAUUCUGUCAGGGGAAAAGAAAGUUGAACAAGAGGAAAAAGAAAUUGCACGUAAGGAAUUUGUAAAGAAAGUGUGGAAAAAUAGAAAGAAAUUCAAAAAGAAAAAUUAAAUGAGUAGGAGGACAAUUGACUGUCAUAGAAAGGCCACAGCUCUCACAGGUACCGGCUUAGGGAAGAGAGAGAGGAAAUGCACAGCAGCAGCCACAAGGGCUUGGAACUCUCAUGUCGUAAGAAGUAAUCAUUCAGAGCUUUCUUUCUUCCAUGCUGCACACAUUGCAUUCAUUCACCUGGCUAUAUGCAGCACUACAUGGCUGAACGAAAGUUCAGACAAAAGUCUAACAAUGUACUGAUACUACCCAGCCAUCUGAUCGUACAUCAUUGCUGGUUUCUGACUGUUCCCUAGGCAUAAAGGAAGGGUGAUGUUGGUGUUCAUAGAAAGGACGGUUCCUACGUUGUUUAAUACAAGCUCAAUUUCUCUUAGUUCUUCUGUUGAAGACAUGAUUUUGUUUCUGUAUUUUGUUUUCAGAGCAACUUCAAGAAGAAUUGCGUAAGUUUAGCCUUUCCUGAACUACUCCGUGUACAAUUUGUGUUCUGCUUACUUAGCAGUGUCUCAUGACCUUCACCUCUGUCUGUCCCUUGCAGGAUGGAGAAGAACAUUCUUACAUGCUGGUGAGUGCCUCUGAUGUUCUCUCAGAUCUCAGCUUUCUCCCCACUAGCCAGCUAACAGGACUCCUUAGAGGAGAUGAGC